Molecule: ribosomal RNA, 448 nt
Filed under: uncultured bacterium
Lineage: Bacteria
Description: partial 16S ribosomal RNA
Rfam family: Bacterial small subunit ribosomal RNA
Source: RNAcentral
AACGAACGCUGGCGGCAGGCUUAACACGUGCAAGUCGAACGCAUCCUUCGGGGUGAGUGGCAGACGGGUGAGUAACGCGUGGGAACGUGCCCUUCAGUUCGGGAUAACCCAGGGAAACUUGGGCUAAUACCGGAUACGUGCGAGAGCAGAAAGAUUUAUCGCUGAAGGAUCGGCCCGCGUCUGAUUAGCUAGUUUGAGGGGUAAUUGCCCACCAAGGCGACGAUCAGUAGCUGGUCUGAGAGGAUGAUCAGCCACAUUGGGACUGAGACACGGCCCAAACUCCUACGGGAGGCAGCAGUGGGGAAUAUUGGACAAUGGGCGCAAGCCUGAUCCAGCCAUGCCGCGUGAGUGAUGAAGGCCUUAGGGUUGUAAAGCUCUUUCGUCCGGGACGAUAAUGACGGUACCGGAAGAAGAAGCCCCGGCUAACUUCGUGCAGCCGCCGCAGUAA